This 570-nucleotide ribosomal RNA is filed under the name uncultured bacterium. Its description in RNAcentral is "bacterial SSU rRNA". It matches the Rfam family "Bacterial small subunit ribosomal RNA", at positions 33 to 596 of the family's 1533-position model. The record is from RNAcentral.
ACGCUGGCGGCGUGCCUAACACAUGCAAGUCGAGCGGUAACAGGUGUAGCAAUACAUGCUGACGAGCGGCGAACGGGUGAGUAAUGCUUCGGAAUCUGCCCAAUGGUGGGGAAUAACCAGCCGAAAGGUUGGCUAAUACCGCAUAAGUCCUACGGGGGAAAGCAGGGGAUCGCAAGACCUUGCGCCGAUGGAUGAGCCGAAGUCGGAUUAGCUAGUUGGUAGGGUAACGGCCUACCAAGGCGACGAUCCGUAGCUGGUCUGAGAGGACGACCAGCCACACUGGGACUGAGACACGGCCCAGACUCCUACGGGAGGCAGCAGUGGGGAAUAUUGGACAAUGGGGGAAACCCUGAUCCAGCGACGCCGCGUGUGUGAAGAAGGCCUGCGGGUUGUAAAGCACUUUUAGUGGGGAUGAAAAGCUCAGGGCUAAUACCUCUGGGUCUUGACCUAACCCAAAGAAAAAGCACCGGCUAACUCUGUGCCAGCAGCCGCGGUAAUACAGAGGGUGCGAGCGUUAAUCGGAAUUACUGGGCGUAAAGCGUGCGUAGACGGUUAUGUAAGUCGGGUGUG